Molecule: ribosomal RNA, 253 nt
Filed under: uncultured bacterium
Lineage: Bacteria
Description: partial 16S ribosomal RNA
Rfam family: Bacterial small subunit ribosomal RNA
Source: RNAcentral
UACGGGGGGGGCAAGCGUUGUUCGGAAUUACUGGGCGUAAAGGGCUCGUAGGCGGCCAACUAAGUCGGACGUGAAAUCCCCAGGCUCAACCUGGGAACUGCGUCCGAUACUGGAUGGCUUGAAUUCGGGAGAGGGAUGCAGAAUUCCAGGUGUAGCGGUGAAAUGCGUAGAUAUCUGGAGGAACACCGGUGGCGAAGGCGGGUCUCUGGGCCGAUACUGACGCUGAGGAGCGAAAGCGUGGGGAGCGAACAGG